AGAUGUUUCCCCAUCAGGGUUCAGUAAAGAUAAAUAAUGUUUGUCUCUGUUCUUUUGAAGCCCAAUUCAGCAGGAGAGACCAGCCUCCCCUGUACCCAGCUGUGUGUCCAUGAAGAGUGGCAGGUCUAUGAAUCCUCCUUUAAACUUCAGGGAGGGAGACUUUUCUACUGAACAAAGGAGAGCAGUGCCAAAGACAGGAAGAACAUGAACCAGAAGAAGCUUGCUGACACACUGGAGAAAAGUACAGGACACUUGAAAGCGAUUCAGCGAUAGAGGACUGGUUGGUGCCCAGAGAGUUUGGCUUAAAAGGACAACUGUGAGGUGGCUGAGAUGAGAAGGAUCUCACAGACACAGACUGUUCUAUAGCUAUGAGCAGACUCUACCCUGGGGGCGCCGCACAUCUACAGUGAUGUUUGGUUCCUGAGCUGGACUAAUUUUAGUCCUGACGAUUCUGCCAUGAUAUGGAGAAGGCAACCUCCAACCGAGAGGAUGGAGGCGAAGGAAAGCUCCGGUUCUGAACAACGUUAACCAGGGUGCGGAAAGACCAACUGCACAACAUAAUGCCAUGCUGAUUGGAUCCAUACCAGGUACGUCUCAUCUGCUGUCCAGGUAGCUGAGAGAGGAACCUGGGGUCGACGACACGCUACAGGAGGGCUUCGGUGU
Molecule: long non-coding RNA, 663 nt
Organism: Esox lucius (northern pike)
Lineage: Eukaryota; Metazoa; Chordata; Actinopteri; Esociformes; Esocidae
Exons: 3
Source: RefSeq, a predicted model, not a curated record